Prolemur simus (greater bamboo lemur) is the source of this 107-nucleotide small nuclear RNA. The record is from Ensembl. Lineage: Eukaryota; Metazoa; Chordata; Mammalia; Primates; Lemuridae.
GUGGUUGUUUCAGCAGCACAUGGACUAAAACUGGAAAGACACAGAGAGGGUCAGCCCGGCCCCAGCACAGGGAUGACACACAAGGUAGUGAAGCAUUCCAUAUUUAA